AGUUAUUUUAUUAUUUAUUAUUUUUAAUGAAAGUAUUCUUUAUUUUAUUAUUUUAUUUGAAUAAAAUUUUUUAAUUAUAAGUUAUUAGUAAAGUGAUUGAACUUUGAAAUAAUUUUUAUUUUUUUAUAAGAAAGAUUGAUUUUUUGUACCUUGUGUAUCAGGGUUGAUUAAUUAGAAUUUAAUUAUUUAUUUUUCCCGAAUUAAGAAGAGCUAAUUUUUUAUAAAUUUGACUGUUUAAUAAGUCUUUAUAAUUUUUUAUUAGUAAUGAAACGUUAUACGUUUUUUAAUAUAUCUGGUUUUUUAAGAAAAGAAUUUAAUUCUCUUAAUUUAGGUAUAGGGUUUAUUUUUAUCUUUAUAGUUUUUAUUAGGAAACUUUUGAUGGGAUGAGCUUUCAGAAGUAUUUUUAAAAAGUUUAUUUUUGUGUUAAUUGUUGAGUAUGAUUAAAAUUUUAAAUCUUUAGAAUAAUUUUAUAGUUUUUCUUUUAAUUUUAUAUUAUUUUUAUUUUUUUAACUUGUUUAUUAAAAUUUAUUUUUCAAUUUUUUUAAGUUGGUAAUUAUGAUUAAAUUAGUAAAUUUUUAUUGUAGUUUUAAUUAUUUUUGUUAGGUUGUUAAAAGGAACUCGGCAAUAAUAUUUUUCGCCUGUUUAAUAAAAACAUGUCUUUUUGAUAAUAAUUUAAGGUCUGAUCUGCUCAAUGAGGAGUUAAAUUGCCGCGGUAUUUUGACCGUGCAAAGGUAGCAUAAUAAUUAGUUUUUUUAUUGAAAGCUGGUAUGAAUGAUUGGACGAGAAAAUGACUGUCUCUUUUCAAUUUGUUUUUGAAUUUAACUUUUAAGUUAAAAGGCUUAAAUUUUAAUUAAAGACGAGAAGACCCUAUAGAGUUUUACAUUUCUUUAUUUAUGAUUUUUUUGGUAUUUUUUUAAUUGUAGAUUGGGAUUUGUUUAGUUGGGGUGACUAGAAGAUUAAUUUAACUCUUCUAAUAUUUGAAUCAUUGAUUUUUGAUUAUUAAAUCUAGUUAUACUAAAUUUAAAAUAAAUUACCUUAGGGAUAACAGCGUAAUUUUUCUUUAGAGUUCUUAUUGAAAGGAAAGUUUGCGACCUCGAUGUUGGAUUAAAAUUUAUUUCUGGUGCAGAAGCUUGAUAAUUAAGUCUGUUCGACUUUUAAAAUUUUACAUGAUCUGAGUUUAAACCGGUGUGAGCCAGGUUGGUUUCUAUCUUGACUUUAUUAUAAUAUUUUAGUACGAAAGGACCAAAUAUUAAAUAUUUUUAUUUUUGUUGUUGAAUAUUAUU
Molecule: ribosomal RNA, 1283 nt
Filed under: Elateridae sp. 3 ACP-2013
Lineage: Eukaryota; Metazoa; Arthropoda; Insecta; Coleoptera; Elateridae
Description: 16S ribosomal RNA
Rfam family: Archaeal large subunit ribosomal RNA (bases 855-1210)
Source: RNAcentral